Molecule: ribosomal RNA, 383 nt
Filed under: Salmonella enterica
Lineage: Bacteria; Pseudomonadati; Pseudomonadota; Gammaproteobacteria; Enterobacterales; Enterobacteriaceae
Description: bacterial SSU rRNA
Rfam family: Bacterial small subunit ribosomal RNA
Source: RNAcentral
UGGACGAAAGUCUGACGGAGCAACGCCGCGUGAGUGAUGAAGGCUUUCGGGUCGUAAAACUCUGUUGUUAGGGAAGAACAAGUACAAGAGUAACUGCUUGUACCUUGACGGUACCUAACCAGAAAGCCACGGCUAACUACGUGCCAGCAGCCGCGGUAAUACGUAGGUGGCAAGCGUUAUCCGGAAUUAUUGGGCGUAAAGCGCGCGCAGGCGGUUUCUUAAGUCUGAUGUGAAAGCCCACGGCUCAACCGUGGAGGGUCAUUGGAAACUGGGGAACUUGAGUGCAGAAGAGAAAAGCGGAAUUCCACGUGUAGCGGUGAAAUGCGUAGAGAUGUGGAGGAACACCAGUGGCGAAGGCGGCUUUUUGGUCUGUAACUGACGCU